This 468-nucleotide ribosomal RNA is filed under the name uncultured bacterium. RNAcentral's name for it is "partial 16S ribosomal RNA". It matches the Rfam family "Bacterial small subunit ribosomal RNA", at positions 28 to 507 of the family's 1533-position model. The record is from RNAcentral.
GACGAACGCUGGCGGCGUGCCUAACACAUGCAAGUCGCACGGAAAGGCCCUGCCCUUGUGGUGUGCUCGAGUGGCGAAAGGGUGAGUAACACGUGGGUAACCUGCCCUUAACUUCGGGAUAAUUCGACGAAUCUGGGGUUAAUCCCGGAUAGGAGCUCCUGCUGCAUGGUGGGGGUUGGAACGUCUCGGCGGGUGGGGACGGUUACGCGGCUUAUCAGCUUGCUGGUGGGGUAGUGGCCUACCAAAGCCUUGACGGGUAGCGUGCCUGGGCGGGUGACCGGCCACGUUGGGACUGAGAUACGACCCAGACUGCUACGGGACGCAGCAGUGGAGAAGAUUGCACAAUGGGCGGAGGCCAGAUGCAGCAACGCCGCGUGCGGGAUGACGAGCUUCGGGUUGUAAAGCGCUGUCGCCUGUGACGAAACGUGAGUGACGGUAAUGGGUAAAGAAGCACCGGCUAACUACGUG